RNAcentral lists this transfer-messenger RNA (359 nucleotides) under Chloroflexota bacterium. It matches the Rfam family "transfer-messenger RNA". Rfam says of the family: Bacterial tmRNA, also known as 10Sa RNA or SsrA, is named for its dual tRNA and mRNA-like properties. Its role is to liberate the mRNA from a stalled ribosome. Lineage: Bacteria; Bacillati; Chloroflexota. The record is from RNAcentral.
GGGGAUGUUUGGUUUCGACAGGGUCGUUUGUCAGGUACGUGCGUGUCGAGGCGCCCAUAGCCUCGUAAAAAUGGGCAACCAAGAGAUGCGAACGCUCCUCUUGCUUACGCUGCCUAAGUCACUGACCUCUAGGUAGCGCGUCUGACGGUCCUCCGCCUUCUGGGGCCGACAACAGGCGUCACCAAGGAAGGCUGCGGUGAAGAAGUUCGCCAGAGCGCAAUCACCAAAGACAGUCUGGCUCACUGCAGUGGAAUCCCGUCGGUAGGAGAUCACUGCAGCACAUAAUAUGCCGACUACACACGUAGUAACUUGCCGGCUGGCGGUUCUGGACGGGGGUUCGACUCCCCCCAUCUCCACCU